GAUGAACGCUGGCUACAGGCUUAACACAUGCAAGUCGAGGGGAAACGUCGGGGAAGCUUGCUUCCCCGGGCGUCGACCGCCGCACGGGUGAGUAACGCGUAUCCAACCUGCCUCUGACUGAGGGAUAACCCGUCGAAAGUCGGCCUAAUACCUCAUUUCAUCGUCUGCGGGCCUCCAACGACCAUUAAAGCUUUCAUCGGUCAGAGCUGGGGAUGCGUCUGAUUAGCUUGUUGGCGGGGUAACGGCCCACCAAGGCGACGAUCAGUAGGGGUUCUGAGAGGAAGGUACCCCACAUGGGAACUGAGACACGGACAAAAGGACUAAGGGAGGAAGCAGUGAGGAAUAGUGGUCAGCGGGCGAGAGCAUGAACCAGCCAAGUAGAGUGCAGGAUGACGGCCCUAUGGGUUGUAAAAUGCUUUUAUGCGGGGAUAAAGUGAGGGACGUGUCCUACAUUGCAGGUACCGCAUGAAUAAGGACCGGCUAAUUCCGUG
This 491-nucleotide ribosomal RNA is filed under the name uncultured bacterium. Its description in RNAcentral is "partial 16S ribosomal RNA". It matches the Rfam family "Bacterial small subunit ribosomal RNA", at positions 28 to 507 of the family's 1533-position model. The record is from RNAcentral.